CGCCUUGCCAGCCCGCUCAGAAACUCAAAUGAAUUGACGGGGGCCCGCACAAGCGGCGGAGCAUGUGGAUUAAUUCGAUGCAACGCGAAGAACCUUACCUGGGUUUGACAUACACCGGAAAACCGUAGAGAUACGGUCCCCCUUGUGGUCGGUGUACAGGUGGUGCAUGGCUGUCGUCAGCUCGUGUCGUGAGAUGUUGGGUUAAGUCCCGCAACGAGCGCAACCCUUGUCUUAUGUUGCCAGCACGUUAUGGUGGGGACUCGUAAGAGACUGCCGGGGUCAACUCGGAGGAAGGUGGGGACGACGUCAAGUCAUCAUGCCCCUUAUGUCCAGGGCUUCACACAUGCUACAAUGGCCAGUACAGAGGGCUGCGAGACCGUGAGGUGGAGCGAAUCCCUUAAAGCUGGUCUCAGUUCGGAUCGGGGUCUGCAACUCGACCCCGUGAAGUCGGAGUCGCUAGUAAUCGCAGAUCAGCAACGCUGCGGUGAAUACGUUCCCGGGCCUU
This 505-nucleotide ribosomal RNA is filed under the name uncultured Rhodococcus sp. RNAcentral describes it as "bacterial SSU rRNA". It matches the Rfam family "Bacterial small subunit ribosomal RNA", at positions 903 to 1382 of the family's 1533-position model. Lineage: Bacteria; Bacillati; Actinomycetota; Actinomycetes; Mycobacteriales; Nocardiaceae. The record is from RNAcentral.